Molecule: ribosomal RNA, 253 nt
Filed under: uncultured bacterium
Lineage: Bacteria
Description: partial 16S ribosomal RNA
Rfam family: Bacterial small subunit ribosomal RNA
Source: RNAcentral
UACGGAGGAUGCAAGCGUUAUCCGGAAUGAUUGGGCGUAAAGCGUCCGCAGGUGGCAAUGUAAGUCUGCUGUCAAAGCGUCUGGCUCAACCAGAUAAAGGCAGUGGAAACUACAUAGCUAGAGUAAGGUAGGGGUAGAGGGAAUUCCUGGUGUAGCGGUGAAAUGCGUAGAGAUCGGGAGGAACACCGGCGGCGAAGGCGGCGUCCUGGACCUGGCCUGACGCUCAGGAGCGAAAGCGUGGGGAGCGAUCCGG